CCCUUAGAUGUUCUGGGCCGCACGCGCGCUACACUGACAGAGCCAGCGAGUUUUUUUCCUUGGCCGGAAGGUCUGGGUAAUCUUGUGAAACUCUGUCGUGCUGGGGAUAGAGCAUUGCAAUUAUUGCUCUUCAACGAGGAAUACCUAGUAAGCGUGAGUCAUCAGCUCGCGUUGAUUACGUCCCUGCCCUUUGUACACACCGCCCGUCGCUACUACCGAUUGAAUGGCUUAGUGAGGUCUUGGGAUUGGCUUCGAGGAACCGGCAACGGUACCUUGUUGCUGAGAACUCGAUCAAACUUGGUCAUUUAGAGGAAGUAAAAGUCGUAACA
This 329-nucleotide ribosomal RNA is filed under the name uncultured eukaryote. RNAcentral's name for it is "partial 18S ribosomal RNA". It matches the Rfam family "Eukaryotic small subunit ribosomal RNA", at positions 1470 to 1796 of the family's 1831-position model. The record is from RNAcentral.